RNAcentral lists this ribosomal RNA (206 nucleotides) under uncultured bacterium. RNAcentral's name for it is "partial 16S ribosomal RNA". It matches the Rfam family "Bacterial small subunit ribosomal RNA", at positions 568 to 774 of the family's 1533-position model. The record is from RNAcentral.
CACGCAGGCGGUCUGUCAAGUCGGAUGUGAAAUCCCCGGGCUCAACCUGGGAACUGCAUUCGAAACUGGCAGGCUAGAGUCUUGUAGAGGGGGGUAGAAUUCCAGGUGUAGCGGUGAAAUGCGUAGAUAUAUGGAGGAACACCGGUGGCGAAAGCGGCUCUCUGGCCUGUAACUGACACUGAGGCUGAAAGCGUGGGGAGCAAACA